Thunnus maccoyii (southern bluefin tuna) is the source of this 659-nucleotide long non-coding RNA. RefSeq lists it as uncharacterized. Lineage: Eukaryota; Metazoa; Chordata; Actinopteri; Scombriformes; Scombridae. The record is from RefSeq and is a predicted model, not a curated record. The transcript is spliced from 3 exons.
UUUUCAUUUUAGUCUGCAUCUCUCUGUUUCCAUGUGCUCACAUGGCUCACAGGCUCUCCCCGUGCUUGGCUGACAUGGAGGUGUGCAGACUGAAAUGAGGGCAAUCCUUAUUAUCGUUAGCAAAGUGCCAACUUCUUUUGUAAAGCCCAGGGGUGGAUGCAAAUCUCCUUUAGGCAGCUCCAGUGUGCCAUUGUGGCAGGACAGACAGGAAGUCUAUAUUACCGUGUGGUGGCCCCCCAAAGGCUCCCGCCAAUUUCCUCAUAUAAAACUGCGAACAGCUACAUCCAGCAAACAAGCUCAGACACACAGACAGUACCUGUUCUUCUGUACUGUCUGCCCAGCAUGAAAUGGCAGAGAACAUCAGUUAACAAGUGGCUGGUGAAGUCCACCAUCUAUAGCAAAACAAGAAGAGAGAGCAAACUAGAGCUAAAAACUGAGCGAUUGUUAGAUGAACAUUUGUCAGGUGGACAGAAAAAGAACUCAAUUUGUUGUCCAUGACAACAAGAAGCUUUUCUUUACUAACACAUAAAUGAAAGAUAGCUUCUUGAAGAUGUUUGUUCUGUAAAGUUUGGCGGCUGUAGUUGCCCAUAAAAUAUAUUUUGUAACGUUAAUAAAGUUCUAAUGUUUUACUGCCACAAUUUAUUUGAUUGAUUUCUAAU